RNAcentral lists this small RNA (99 nucleotides) under Hordeum vulgare subsp. vulgare (domesticated barley). Lineage: Eukaryota; Viridiplantae; Streptophyta; Magnoliopsida; Poales; Poaceae. The record is from RNAcentral.
GAGUGUACCGCCCAACGGCGAGACGGACCGAAAGUUGUAGACAUGGAUGUGAUUGUUUAUAGAGUAUUUAACAAAAAGAACUGGAGUACAUAAUUCGAC